Molecule: ribosomal RNA, 385 nt
Filed under: uncultured bacterium
Lineage: Bacteria
Description: bacterial SSU rRNA
Rfam family: Bacterial small subunit ribosomal RNA
Source: RNAcentral
AUUGAACGCUGGCGGCAUGCUUUACACAUGCAAGUCGAACGGCAGCGGACCUUCGGGUGCCGGCGAGUGGCGAACGGGUGAGUAAUAUAUCGGAACGUACCUUUCAGUGGGGGAUAACGUAGCGAAAGUUACGCUAAUACCGCAUAUUCUGUGAGCAGGAAAGCAGGGGAUCGCAAGACCUUGCGCUGAUUGAGCGGCCGAUAUCAGAUUAGCUAGUUGGUGAGGUAAAGGCUCACCAAGGCGACGAUCUGUAGCGGGUCUGAGAGGAUGAUCCGCCACACUGGAACUGAGACACGGUCCAGACUCCUACGGGAGGCAGCAGUGGGGAAUAUUGGACAAUGGGGGCAACCCUGAUCCAGCCAUGCCGCGUGUGUGAAGAAGGCCU